AUGCACCACCAUCCCCGGCUAAUUUUUUCUAUAUGUAUUUUUAGUUGGCCAGAUAAUUUUUUUCUAUUUUAAUGAUGUGUAAUUCUUUAAAGGCAUUGCAUGGGCCAAACAGACUAGAUUUCCUGCAACCCAGGAAAGGACGAAGUCCGUCUCUACUUUAGGACAGUUACCAAUAGCCGUUCCAGCUUGAAAGCUUUUGGUUUCACCUAUCUUCCUGCUCUCAGAGGUGGCAGAGUAUAGGUUGUGGGAAAACAAGACUGAGGAGGAAAAGUCCAUCCUGGGACUGAAGUCCUGUGCCUGGCCCUGCCCGGGAGCUGCACAUGCAGGAGUGAGGUGACUAGGAAGUCGGAAGGAGCCACAGUAGGUCCAAGAGGGGUGGGUCCUUCCUGUGUAUCCCACUUGGGACUCUGGGCAUCUUGCAUCUGUGUCUUUGUGUGUUUUCAUCAGUUCUAAGAAUUAUCUGCCAUUAUCUCUUCAAAUAAUGCUUCCGUUUUCAUUUUUUUUCUCCUCUCUUUCUGGAACUCUGAUUAACUUAUGUUAGACCUUCCAUCUCUCAUAUUUUCUUUUUUUAAAAUGCCCCUUCCCACCCCGUCUCUCGUAUAUUUUCUGUCUUCAUUUCUUUUUUGUUUCUGUGACAGAUUUAUGGGUAUCUUUUGACCUUUUUUCCAAUUCACUAAUUUUCUCUUUGGCUAUGUCUGCUCUGCUGUUAUAAACUUGUGUGUUUGUUUUUGUGUGUUUACGUGGAUUUUUACUGGAGAAUAUGAUUUAUUCUUGUUCCCAACUAGUGUUUAAAAAUAAUCUUAGUAUUGUAUUUUUUGUUUCACUUUUACUUAGUUUUUUAUUAGUUAGGUCAGAUUUUAUAGUUUCUUAUUCCCUUUAGAUGUUUUCAGACUAGUUGUUUGUUUCUAUAAACAGAACAUACAGUUGUACCUUGGUGUGCACAGGGGAUUGAUUCCAGGAACACCCACCACCCCCUGGGAUACCAAAAUCCAUGGGCACUGAAUUGGUGGAAUCUGUGGAUGUGGAAGUCAUGGACACAGGAGCCCGACUACAUGUAUUUAAUCUGUGUCUGGUAACUCUGAAGACCUUGCAGGUCUGUCUCUGCUAUCAUUCCCUCAUAGUUUAUUGUUUCCUUCUGUGUUUGAUUA
Long non-coding RNA from Lemur catta (Ring-tailed lemur), 1148 nucleotides. RefSeq lists it as uncharacterized. The transcript has 2 exons. NCBI's taxonomy places the organism in Eukaryota, Metazoa, Chordata, Mammalia, Primates, Lemuridae. The record is from RefSeq and is a predicted model, not a curated record.